RNAcentral lists this long non-coding RNA (313 nucleotides) under Panax ginseng (ginseng). RNAcentral's name for it is "long non-coding RNA (PGIN_LNC018995)". Lineage: Eukaryota; Viridiplantae; Streptophyta; Magnoliopsida; Apiales; Araliaceae. The record is from RNAcentral.
GAGGCAGUGUGAUGAGUUUGAUUCUCAUAUUAUGCGAGAGACAUUGGUAGACCCUGAUGAGUUAAUUAAUGGUUUAAAUUGCGUCAUCAUUCAAGUAUGCAUUACGUUAUUUUACAUAUUCAUUUUUAUCCCAACUAAUUGAUGAGUAGCAGCCGCCAGCCAGGGAUGAACAUGUAAUUUGAACGCAAAGACAUUUCCUACCAAACUGAGGUCCUGAGGAGAACAGAACAGAACAGUGUCAGAGUAAUUCGUAGAAAUUAGAGUUCGCCAAACAACCUUAAUUGGACAAUAUCUAAAAUUAAUGAUGUUUUAG